UACGUAGGGUCCGAGCGUUGUCCGGAAUUAUUGGGCGUAAAGGGCUCGUAGGCGGUCUGUUGCGUCGGGAGUGAAAACUUACAGCUUAACUGUGAGCGUGCUUCCGAUACGGGCAGACUUGAGGUAUUCAGGGGAGAACGGAAUUCCUGGUGUAGCGGUGAAAUGCGCAGAUAUCAGGAGGAACACCCGUGGCGAAAGCGGCUCUCUGGGACGGUACUGACGCUGAGACGCGAAAGCGUGGGGAGCAAACAGG
Molecule: ribosomal RNA, 253 nt
Filed under: uncultured bacterium
Lineage: Bacteria
Description: partial 16S ribosomal RNA
Rfam family: Bacterial small subunit ribosomal RNA
Source: RNAcentral